Gigantopelta aegis is the source of this 673-nucleotide long non-coding RNA. RefSeq lists it as uncharacterized. The record is from RefSeq and is a predicted model, not a curated record. Lineage: Eukaryota; Metazoa; Mollusca; Gastropoda; Neomphalida; Peltospiridae. The transcript is spliced from 3 exons.
CACUUCCAUGUUCUGUUUAGUAGAACCAGUUCGGAACUCUUGGAUCUGGGAGAAAAGAAGACAAUAAUUAGAGAGAGACAGAGAGAGGAGAUAGGGACGCAAAUAGCCUGAUUAUCUCAUAGCUGAGCCACCAUGCAGAGGUGCUAUUCCACGGAAUGUGUGAGUCAAAGUGAUGUGUCAGUUUUCACCUGCCAGGUGUGGUCUUCAAUACUACUAUCUACAGUACGAAAUUAGCCUGUCUAUAAUAGCCAAGAACUUGGCAUGAAAACAACAGAAGGACAAUAGUACAGCUGAGUGUUUGACCUAUAUCGAGCAAUCCUACGGUGCACGAAGGUGGCGCCUGCAAAGAGGAACAUCGGUUGCCUUAGAUCGAUACUAGAGUUCUGAGACGCACACCAGUGAUGGUGAUUCACAAGGGUUAUGGCAGCAAACUCGAGUUAGUUUUAUUACACGUGUGUAUUUAACUGAGUUAGUUUUAUUACACGUGUGUAUUUAACAGUUAGUUUUAUUACACGUGUGUAUUUAACCGAGUUAGUUUUAUUACACGUGUGUAUUUAACUGAGUUAGUUUUAUUACACGUGUGUAUUUAAUCAGUUACAUCAAAACAAACAUUCACGGGCGGGACGUAGGCCAGUGUUGAAGCGCUCGCCUGAUGUGCGAUCAGUCUAAGAUC